CUCAUAUUAGAAAAUCCCACAGUUUAGUGGUAGGGCUUUCUCGGGGGAUGGCAGAUCCCUGUUCAUAAUUCCUUCUUCUCAUCAGGCAGUGGGGGGGACUUGAGCUGGUGGUCUCUUCCCACAUCCUAGGAAACCAUCUCAGCUGUAGACAGGACACCAUCUUGGAGGAACUAAAUUAGCUGGCAUUUGAGAAGCAUGCACAGCUCCUGAAUGUAGAUUGAUCCCACUCACAAACAAGGAUGGGCAUGAAUUCCACCUGCUGAAAGCUUUGCUGCUGUGAAUUCCACCUCACAUGCUGUACAUAGCACCUCUCUGAAUGCCUGUUGACUUCAGUGGAAGAUUAAGGACUUUCUAUACCUUGCGGAAUGAGGCCCUGAAUGGUAAACCUCUCUGAUAGGUGAACCAAUGCACACCCACUGCCUGCAUCCAGUUAGUUUUCUGUACUUUACCCUGCAACAGAUUUUGGCUGCUUCCAACUUAAGUCUCAACUGACUGGAAGACAGUUCCAUUGGAUAGUAAAGCCUAAGACUCAGUGUGAGAAACUGGUACUGUUGGACGUAAAGUUUAGGAACAGCUUUAACAACUUGCAAAAUUUCCUUUCAUUAAAAAUAAUAAUAAUGCUGUAUUCUCCUUGAAGACACAGUGGAACUUUGCUAAUUCACACUGAUGCAUGGGAGACCUGCUGCCAGUUAAUUAGCUGUGUAAAUUAGCAAAUUAGGACCUGAUCCAAAGGACACUGUAGUGAAUGUCUUUCUAUCAACUAUAAUGGGUUUAAGAUCAGGAUUUUUUUUUUUAAAGAUUCUACAGCACAAAAUGUAUGUUGUUCAGUUAGUUUGACAAGCUUAGUUUUUUAUGGUAUUUCAUAGUACACAAGUGUAUUGUAAAGUAGCACAUUUUGUAAAAGUAAUGAAGUCUUAGUAAUAUGAAACUUUGCUAUCUUAAAAAUAAAUAAUAUCCUGUGCACAGGGAAAAGUCUGCUUGGAAUUGAGGAAAAUUAUCAGGGUUUAUAGCUUCUACUCUGUUUAAAGACCAAAAUAUGUUCAUGUUUAGAAUCUAAACAUGGAUACAGAAAGGGGG
Molecule: long non-coding RNA, 1077 nt
Organism: Dermochelys coriacea (leatherback sea turtle)
Lineage: Eukaryota; Metazoa; Chordata; Testudines; Dermochelyidae
Exons: 3
Source: RefSeq, a predicted model, not a curated record